This 253-nucleotide ribosomal RNA is filed under the name uncultured bacterium. RNAcentral describes it as "partial 16S ribosomal RNA". It matches the Rfam family "Bacterial small subunit ribosomal RNA", at positions 524 to 776 of the family's 1533-position model. The record is from RNAcentral.
UACGUAGGGUGCGAGCGUUGUCCGGAAUUACUGGGCGUAAGGAGCUCGUAGGUGGUUUGUCGCGUUGUUCGUGAAAACUCACAGCUCAACUGUGGGCGUGCGGGCGAUACGGGCAGACUGGAGUACUGCAGGGGAGACUGGAAUUCCUGGUGUAGCGGUGGAAUGCGCAGAUAUCAGGAGGAACACCGGUGGCGAAGGCGGGUCUCUGGGCAGUAACUGACGCUGAGGAGCGAAAGCGUGGGGAGCGAACAGG